UAGGGAAUAUUAGUAAUGGGCGAAAGCCUGAACUAGCAACACCGCGUGUGCGAAGAAGGCCUUCGGGUUGUAAAGCACUUUUUGAGAGGAUGAGGAAGGACGGUACUCUCAGAAUAAGUCUCGGCUAACUACGUGCCAGCAGCCGCGGUAACACGUAGGAGGCAAACGUUAUCCGGAUUUACUGGGCGUAAAGCGCGUGUAGGUGGUUCUGUAAGUAGGGCGUGAAAGCUCCUGGCUCAACUGGGAGAGGCCGUUCUAAACUGCAGAGCUAGAGGAUGGUAGAGGGAGGUGGAAUUCCGGGUGUAGCGGUGGAAUGCGCAGAUAUCCGGAGGAACACCAGUGGCGAAAGCGGCCUCCUGGACCAUUCCUGACACUCAGACGCGAAAGCUAGGGUAGCAAACG
This 402-nucleotide ribosomal RNA is filed under the name uncultured prokaryote. RNAcentral describes it as "bacterial SSU rRNA". It matches the Rfam family "Bacterial small subunit ribosomal RNA", at positions 355 to 774 of the family's 1533-position model. The record is from RNAcentral.